Small nucleolar RNA from Peromyscus eremicus (cactus mouse), 212 nucleotides. RefSeq annotates it as small nucleolar RNA U3. The record is from RefSeq and is a predicted model, not a curated record. Lineage: Eukaryota; Metazoa; Chordata; Mammalia; Rodentia; Cricetidae. The transcript has a single exon.
UUGUUAAGUUUGAGGAACCAUUUCUAUAGUUCGUCUCUAGAGCACUUUCUCACCCGAGACCAUCAUGAGGACCAGACACAGCGUUCCCUCCUGAGUGUGCAGCCGGCUCCAGGUGCUGCUUUCCACUGAGCCUCCUCCUCUUCCGCUGAUGGUCAUUCUUACCUUCCCUUGGGAGAGGGAGAGGGAAAGGGAGGGAAUGCAGUCAGGGUGUG